Molecule: ribosomal RNA, 253 nt
Filed under: uncultured bacterium
Lineage: Bacteria
Description: partial 16S ribosomal RNA
Rfam family: Bacterial small subunit ribosomal RNA
Source: RNAcentral
UACGAAGGGGGCUAGCGUUGCUCGGAAUUACUGGGCGUAAAGCGCACGUAGGCGGAUUGCUAAGUCAGGGGUGAAAUCCUGGAGCUCAACUCCAGAACUGCCCUUGAUACUGGCGAUCUUGAGUCCGGGAGAGGUGAGUGGAACUGCGAGUGUAGAGGUGAAAUUCGUAGAUAUUCGCAAGAACACCAGUGGCGAAGGCGGCUCACUGGCCCGGUACUGACGCUGAGGUGCGAAAGCGUGGGGAGCAAACAGG